UGACGACAGAUGUUCUAUAUAAGCCUGCACUGGUAAUUUAUCCAAAACUUCGUUGUCCUGAUGGGUGUCAUUUCAUCAUAUAUGGUACUAAAAAAAACACACCUUAAAUCUAAUCUAGGGGGAGUCGUUUUUAAUGUUGUUCGUUUUGUUAAAGUAAUCUCUUUAAGUGUUCCGUGUGAUGGGCUACUUACCCGUCGCCUCAACCCAUCUUUUUAUCGUUCUACGGGUGAAUUAUUAUAUGUCUUAUAUUUCUUAAAAAGUCUACUUUUAAAAUUACGCAAUCAUCUCAGAUACGGAGUAGACCCCUUUUAGAAUAAGGUCUCAUGGUGAAAACAGAUAUUUUGAAAGCACAUUAUAAAAAGACGAAAUUCGCAAAUUCAUGUCGCAAUUAGAAACCUAACUUAUGUCAAAUAAAGUCGAUCGCAACAAAUCUAAGUUGACACUGGAACAUAAUUCACCAAACCGCUCCGCAACUGACUUCAACAGUCAAAGUCAAUUGGUAUCCAUCCUCAGGUUCCGCAAAUGGCAUACAUCUACAUAAAGAAACGUCCACGAUCGAGAUAAAUACAAGCUCCAAAAUCGUAUCCCUUAUAUUACGAAAGUUAUCCAUCUGAAACAAACACACCAAUUAAAGAUACUGUUGAUGAAACAGGAGCAGCAAGUCACCGAAACAAACAAGUUCGGAAACUACAUCCAGAUUCGAGACAAUUCCAAAUGUCUCAGUUAAUAUAUACCACUGAAUUCGGUGCAAUAUAGGAGCAUGUUAAAAUAAGAAUCCUGCCCAAAUAUUUCGUCUUGACGCAUAAAACUCAAUUCGUAAGUGUAACCCGUUCAGCAGGUAUGGCGUUAUGAACAGCUAUAAGCACACCUCCACCAAGUCUACCUACUCUAUCACAUAAACUUGUUAUUGAUCAGAAAAAAGUUAAAUAUUACCGAUGCCAGGUUUAAGCCAAAUCACUACCAACAGAUUUCAAAUAGAUGUCCCUAAGUUUAGUAUUAAAGCCUCCAACAUUCCGAUUAGGUAUAAACAAAGAAUGAAUCAGUUUUGUGAAACAGAAGGAAUAACCACAGGCAGCGAUGUGCUCUUCAGAUGUUCCAGAAUGCAGUCUGGAUAUAAAAACGCUUUUCGUCGGAGCCACCACUACAAGUAAGAAAGACUCGGUUUCAACAACGCGACGGAAAGUAUGCUCCGAAAAAUAAAAUAGCAGAAGUAUUCUAUUUAGACAAAUGAAGUGGUAGAGAGCAAACAACAAAGCAAUAAUACCAAACGUGAAUCAAAACAAAUAAAACAGGCAGCAAACGACCCGAAAUUUGAACGCAGAAUCUUCUACUUAUCUCAAUAACGAGCACGUAACAGCGCAAGAUUUCACGUCGCACUAAAAGGGCGAGACUAAUUUUCGCAAAUUAUUUAUCACAGGGUCAAUGAAACUCGCAGUGACUCUUUAAAUCUCUUGAUUAUACCCUCCACCAUAGGAUAGGUGGUAUACUAAUUUCAUCAUACAGUUUGUAAAACCUCGAAAUAUGCGUCUAAGACCUCAUAAACUAUAUAUAUUCUUGAUCGUCACGACAUUUUGAGUCGAUAUAGCCAUGUCCGUCCGCCCGUCUGUCGAAAGCACGCUAACUUACGAGGAGUAAGUUGAAAUCGUAUACAAAUAUAUCUUAUAAGUUUAGGUCAGUUGGGAUUGUAAAUGGCCAAAUCGGUCCAUGUUUUGAUAUUCAGCCAUAUAAACCGCUCUUGAGCAUCUGGGGGCGCAAUUCUUAUCCAAUGUGGCUGAAAUUUUGUACGUGAUGUUUUAGUAUCACUUCGAACAACUGUGCUAAGUUGUAAUACCAUUUUUUAAAUUUUUUUAACGAAGUUUAAAUUUACUGGUACUACUUGUACUGUACAGACAAAAUUUUAGUACUAGCCUAUAGUAGGGAGUAUUGACUACUUAUAAUUGAUAAUUACAUAUAUACUUGUACUCAUCGGAGUUUGGCUUGCCUGGCUACAUGGCUGCGAAACCUCAUUUUAACAUUAUUUUCUUUAUCAACCAUCAAGCAGUUAAGUAAAAAAGUCUAUGACAUGUUUUUAUCUCAAUUUUUAUACCAUUCAGGAAUCCUAGCCUCUUUGCUGAGGUCCUCGAGCUUCAAGACGACCCACCAAUACUUCGCUUUCGUAGGACGUUUCUUGCAAUAAAACCACCUACAAAAAAAUCUUCAAACCAAAGGUUUUAAAAAACACUCAGAGUAGAGAAUCUCAUCAUAGUCAUAUAUUUGUCAUCGUUUAUACACAUCGUCCACCUAAGUAACUAUGGGUUAUGUAAGCAAAAACAUUAAACGUUCCAUCUGACCACAGCGUUAUUAUUAAGUAAAAAGCCGAAAGUAAAGGAAUUAAAUUGUAUUAGUCAAAAUAAGCUGGGUUUGAAGACAGCUAAGUAUCAUGGAUAUACCCUAAAAUGAAAACAAAAUUAUCUUAAAUUAUUUUUUUUUAGUUUAUUCCGUUGAAUGGAGCAGACGUAUUGUUAUUUCACUCUGCAAAAAUUUUCCUGUAACUCGUAAUAGGUCAAUAUUUUUGAAAGAAAACUUUAAAUCACUCAGCGAUAGCUGCGGUAGAGGUAUCCAUUAGGCGGUUGAUGAUCUGUGUCUGUUUCCAGUGGAGCGGUAGAUCUCGAGCCCGGGAGUAGGCUUAGAAUGGACUUUAAAGACCCCACAGCUGCGGUGGUGAUAUCAGGACGUAGCAUGUUGUAUGCUACUGAAACCUUGACUGGUGGAGCGACUGCUCCAGGCUCCACUAGCCGACAGACGACUGGUCAGGAGGGGCUUUUGAGGAAGACAUCUGGUUCGAGUCUCAAGGACAAAGCCGAACCUAUUCUUUCUUCAGAUGCCUAUAAUUUGCCUUAGGCGUAAAAGUGCUCGCUUAUGCUGAUGACGUGGCAAUUGCGAUUAGAGGAAAGUUUCCCACACUCUAAGAGAUAUACUUCAGGAAGCUCUACGUGCACAGCAAAGUGGGCUACCGAAAGUGGUCUAGGUGUAAAUCCGUGCAAGACAGAAGUAGUUCUUUUCAGCAGGAGAUACAAGUUGCCGACAGUGGAACCCGUUUCCUGGGUGUUUUGCUGGACAGGAAAUUGAACUUCAAAUCCAAAUUUUGGAAAGCGCAAGAAAGGCCAUUCUUGCCCUAUACACCUGCAAGAGAGCCAUUGGCAAAUGUUGGAUGUUUAGACCGCGUGUCAUGCAUUGGGUAUAUACUUAAGUUAUCAAACCUAUAAUGCUAUAUGGUGUUGUGGUCUGGUAGACGGCGCUUCAAUAGUCCACCUACUGCUCAGUACUUAACCGAAUCCAAAGGAUGGCUUGUUUGUGCAUCACAGCCGCACUGGGGCCUCUGGACAUUGUGGCUACCCAAAUUGCAGCGACCACUGCCGUGAGAUUAAAGGAGCUUUCAUUGGUCAUGUGGUGACUACGGACACUGUGUUAUCCUUGAUACAAUAUCGAUGUUCCAGGCAGUACAGUAAAAAGUACUGUAGCACUAUUCCUGAUAGAAACCGAUUGGAACUACGAUAUCCCUGGCAACAGAAGUUACAUAGACUUCCAUACGGAUGGUUCCAAACUAAACGACCAGGUGGGCUUUGGGGUGUACUCUUAAGAUUUAGAACUGGUCAUAUCGAAAAGGUUACCGGACCACAAAGAUGGUCACAAAGAGGGGCUGUGAGCAUUCCAAAACUAUGUGGCUUAAUCUAAAAUUGAAGAGGUCUACUUGUUGAGAAUUGAAUGAAAUACACCUUAUGCUAAACACUUUGCUUUACUAUAUUACAAUUUACAUUAGUAUGACUUUGUUAUAUAAAACUCUUUGUGAAAUAUGUAAUACUAUUUUAGAAUUUAGUUCAAUAAACGUAUUCAAUUUAA
Molecule: long non-coding RNA, 3879 nt
Organism: Stomoxys calcitrans (stable fly)
Lineage: Eukaryota; Metazoa; Arthropoda; Insecta; Diptera; Muscidae
Exons: 3
Source: RefSeq, a predicted model, not a curated record